CACGUAGGGCGCAAGCGUUGUCCGGAAUUAUUGGGCGUAAAGAGCGUGUAGGCGGCCAGACAGGUCAGCUGUGAAAACUCGAGGCUCAACCUCGAGACGUCGGUUGAAACCGUCUGGCUAGAGUCCGGAAGAGGAGAGUGGAAUUCCCGGUGUAGCGGUGAAAUGCGCAGAUAUCGGGAAGAACACCCGUGGCGAAGGCGGCUCUCUGGGACGGUACUGACGCUGAGACGCGAAAGCGUGGGGAGCGAACAGG
RNAcentral lists this ribosomal RNA (253 nucleotides) under uncultured bacterium. RNAcentral describes it as "partial 16S ribosomal RNA". It matches the Rfam family "Bacterial small subunit ribosomal RNA", at positions 524 to 776 of the family's 1533-position model. The record is from RNAcentral.